This 75-nucleotide transfer RNA is filed under the name Psychrilyobacter atlanticus. It matches the Rfam family "tRNA". Rfam says of the family: Transfer RNA (tRNA) molecules are approximately 80 nucleotides in length. Their secondary structure includes four short double-helical elements and three loops (D, anti-codon, and T loops). The record is from RNAcentral. Lineage: Bacteria; Fusobacteriati; Fusobacteriota; Fusobacteriia; Fusobacteriales; Fusobacteriaceae. RNAcentral also lists the same sequence under 2 other names.
GGUCCGUUCGUCUAUCGGUUAGGAUUCUUGGUUUUCACUCAAGCGGGAGGGGUUCAACUCCCCUACGGACUACCA